Molecule: transfer RNA, 73 nt
Organism: Sus scrofa (pig)
Lineage: Eukaryota; Metazoa; Chordata; Mammalia; Artiodactyla; Suidae
Rfam family: tRNA
About the family: Transfer RNA (tRNA) molecules are approximately 80 nucleotides in length. Their secondary structure includes four short double-helical elements and three loops (D, anti-codon, and T loops). Further hydrogen bonds mediate the characteristic L-shaped molecular structure. tRNAs have two regions of fundamental functional importance: the anti-codon, which is responsible for specific mRNA codon recognition, and the 3' end, to which the tRNAs corresponding amino acid is attached (by aminoacyl-tRNA synthetases). tRNAs cope with the degeneracy of the genetic code in two manners: having more than one tRNA (with a specific anti-codon) for a particular amino acid; and 'wobble' base-pairing, i.e. permitting non-standard base-pairing at the 3rd anti-codon position.
Source: Rfam
UCCCUGGUGGCCUAGUGGUUGAGGACUCGGCAUUGUCACUGUUGUGGCUCAGGUUCAAUCCCUGGCCCGGGAA